This 207-nucleotide ribosomal RNA is filed under the name uncultured bacterium. RNAcentral describes it as "partial 16S ribosomal RNA". It matches the Rfam family "Bacterial small subunit ribosomal RNA", at positions 568 to 774 of the family's 1533-position model. The record is from RNAcentral.
AGCGUAGGCGGACAUUUAAGUCAGGGGUGAAAUCCCGGGGCUCAACCUCGGAAUUGCCUUUGAUACUGGGUGUCUUGAGUAUGAGAGAGGUGUGUGGAAUUCCGAGUGUAGAGGUGAAAUUCGUAGAUAUUCGGAGGAACACCAGUGGCGAAGGCGGCUUACUGGUCCAUUACUGACGCUGAGGUGCGAAAGCGUGGGGAGCAAACA